ACGGUCCUAAGGUAGCGAAAUUCCUUGUCGGGUAAGUUCCGACCUGCACGAAUGGCGUAAUGAUGGCCAGGCUGUCUCCACCCGAGACUCAGUGAAAUUGAACUCGCUGUGAAGAUGCAGUGUACCCGCGGCAAGACGGAAAGACCCCGUGAACCUUUACUAUAGCUUGACACUGAACAUUGAGCCUUGAUGUGUAGGAUAGGUGGGAGGCUUUGAAGUGUGGACGCCAGUCUGCAUGGAGCCGACCUUGAAAUACCACCCUUUAAUGUUUGAUGUUCUAACGUGGACCCGUAAUCCGGGUUGCGGACAGUGUCUGGUGGGUAGUUUGACUGGGGCGGUCUCCUCCUAAAGAGUAACGGAGGAGCACGAAGGUUGGCUAAUCCUGGUCGGACAUCAGGAGGUUAGUGCAAUGGCAUAAGCCAGCUUGACUGCGAGCGUGACGGCGCGAGCAGGUGCGAAAGCAGGUCAUAGUGAUCCGGUGGUUCUGAAUGGAAGGGCCAUCGCUCAACGGAUAAAAGGUACUCCGGGGAUAACAGGCUGAUACCGCCCAAGAGUUCAUAUCGACGGCGGUGUUUGGCACCUCGAUGUCGGCUCAUCACAUCCUGGGGCUGAAGUAGGUCCCAAGGGUAUGGCUGUUCGCCAUUUAAAGUGGUACGCGAGCUGGGUUUAGAACGUCGUGAGACAGUUCGGUCCCUAUCUGCCGUGGGCGCUGGAGAACUGAGGGGGGCUGCUCCUAGUACGAGAGGACCGGAGUGGACGCAUCACUGGUGUUCGGGUUGUCAUGCCAAUGGCACUGCCCGGUAGCUAAAUGCGGAAGAGAUAAGUGCUGAAAGCAUCUAAGCACGAAACUUGCCCCGAGAUGAGUUCUCCCUGAGACUUAGAGUCUCCUGAAGGAACGUUGAAGACGACGACGUUGAUAGGCCGGGUGUGUAAGCGCAGCGAUGCGUUGAGCUAACCGGUACUAAUGAACCGUGAGGCUUAACCUUACAACGCCGAAG
This 998-nucleotide ribosomal RNA is filed under the name Salmonella enterica. Its description in RNAcentral is "partial 23S ribosomal RNA". It matches the Rfam family "Bacterial large subunit ribosomal RNA", at positions 1945 to 2925 of the family's 2925-position model. Lineage: Bacteria; Pseudomonadati; Pseudomonadota; Gammaproteobacteria; Enterobacterales; Enterobacteriaceae. The record is from RNAcentral.